UACGGAGGGUGCAAGCGUUAUCCGGAUUCACUGGGUUUAAAGGGUGCGUAGGUGGGCAGGUAAGUCAGUGGUGAAAUCUCCGGGCUUAACUCGGAAACUGCCAUUGAUACUAUCUGUCUUGAAUACCGUGGAGGUCAGCGGAAUAUGUCAUGUAGCGGUGAAAUGCUUAGAUAUGACAUAGAACACCAAUUGCGAAGGCAGCUGGCUACACGAAUAUUGACACUGAUGCACGAAAGCGUGGGGAGCGAACGGG
RNAcentral lists this ribosomal RNA (253 nucleotides) under uncultured bacterium. Its description in RNAcentral is "partial 16S ribosomal RNA". It matches the Rfam family "Bacterial small subunit ribosomal RNA", at positions 524 to 776 of the family's 1533-position model. The record is from RNAcentral.